Molecule: ribosomal RNA, 274 nt
Filed under: uncultured bacterium
Lineage: Bacteria
Description: partial 16S ribosomal RNA
Rfam family: Bacterial small subunit ribosomal RNA
Source: RNAcentral
CCUACGGGAGGCAGCAGUGGGGAAUAUUGCACAAUGGGCGGAAGCCUGAUGCAGCGACGCCGCGUGAGGGAUGACGGCCUUCGGGUUGUAAACCUCUUUCAGCAGGGACGAAGCGAAAGUGACGGUACCUGCAGAAGAAGCGCCGGCCAACUACGUGCCAGCAGCCGCGGUAAGACGUAGGGCGCGAGCGUUGUCCGGAUUUAUUGGGCGUAAAGAGCUCGUAGGCGGCUUGUCGCGUCGACUGUGAAAACCCGCGGCUCAACCGCGGGCCUGC